Molecule: unclassified non-coding RNA, 217 nt
Filed under: Hevea brasiliensis (rubber tree)
Lineage: Eukaryota; Viridiplantae; Streptophyta; Magnoliopsida; Malpighiales; Euphorbiaceae
Source: RNAcentral
GCUGCUGCGAAGGCGGAGAACGAAUCCCAAUGGAGACAUGAUCCGACGUGCCGUUUGAGUAAUGGUGACCGGAUUGCCUGUACUGCGCCAUUCCUACGCAUUUAUCAUAUGCUCACGCAGUACAAUCAACACCAAAUUCAACAAUCUAGGAUCUGGGCGUGAGAGAUAAGGAAUAGAUUUGGUUUUUGAUAUUUGAUAGGUUUUUUUUUUUUUUUAA